Molecule: long non-coding RNA, 510 nt
Organism: Saccostrea cuccullata (small rock oyster)
Lineage: Eukaryota; Metazoa; Mollusca; Bivalvia; Ostreida; Ostreidae
Exons: 4
Source: RefSeq, a predicted model, not a curated record
GGAUAAAAUAAGUGACACGGCAUUGCUUCUUCCUUUUACGAGAAUAUGAGGACAUUAUUUCGGAAAAUAGCAGAAAACUGAGACGAUAUGCACCAGCUCCGAAGAUCGAUCACUGCACUGAAAUUCCAGGCCAGCUGUCAAGAGUAUCAGGCUUAAAGAAUGAAUAAAUGAAAAAUGCAUCAUUUCUCCACAGGGCAUAGCUUUUCCCUUGGACUAAUGGAUUCACUCAGGCGGGAAGUUAAUUUAAGGAAAAUGAAUUCAUUUUAUCCCUAAGAACAUGAAGUGAUGGAAAUAAUUUGCACCCGCCCAGCAUUCCUAGGCCUACAGUCUAUCAUUGGAUUUGAAAAGAAAUGUUUAUUUAAUAAAUUUUCUAGAUAAAUAAAAUAAUUAAACUUUUUUAUUUAUUUACUGUUCAUGUGUUGAAAAGGCCAUUAAGAUUUGAAAAUCUUAACUUGCAUACUAUUUUGUGUGGAGGGUACUAAUGUCCAUAAAGAUCUUAUGUCCAGCAUG